GUAGGGUGCGAGCGUUAAUCGGAAUUACUGGGCGUAAAGCGUGCGCAGGCGGUUUUGUAAGUCAGAUGUGAAAUCCCCGGGCUCAACCUGGGAACUGCAUUUGAGACUGCAAGGCUAGAGUGUGGCAGAGGGGGGUGGAAUUCCACGUGUAGCAGUGAAAUGCGUAAAGAUGUGGAGGAACACCGAUGGCGAAGGCAGCCCCCUGGGCCAAUACUGACGCUCAUGCACGAAAGCGUGGGGAGCAAACAGGAUUAGAUACCCUGGUAGUCCACGCCCUAAACGAUGUCAACUAGGUGUUGGAAGGGUUAAACCUUUUAGUGCCGCAGCUAACGCGUGAAGUUGACCGCCUGGGGAGUACGGCCGCAAGGCUA
This 371-nucleotide ribosomal RNA is filed under the name uncultured bacterium. RNAcentral describes it as "bacterial SSU rRNA". It matches the Rfam family "Bacterial small subunit ribosomal RNA", at positions 527 to 896 of the family's 1533-position model. The record is from RNAcentral.